RNAcentral lists this ribosomal RNA (253 nucleotides) under uncultured bacterium. RNAcentral describes it as "partial 16S ribosomal RNA". It matches the Rfam family "Bacterial small subunit ribosomal RNA", at positions 524 to 776 of the family's 1533-position model. The record is from RNAcentral.
UACGAAGGGGGCUAGCGUUGCUCGGAAUCACUGGGCGUAAAGCGCACGUAGGCGGCUUUUUAGGUCAGGGGUGAAAUCCUGGAGCUCAACUCCAGAACUGCCUUUGAUACUGAGAAGCUUGAGUCCGGGAGAGGUGAGUGGAACUGUGAGUGUAGAGGUGAAAUUCGUAGAUAUUCGCAAGAACACCAGUGGCGAAGGCGGCUCACUGGCCCGGUACUGACGCUGAGGUGCGAAAGCGUGGGGAGCAAACGGG